This is an RNA transcript of Mus musculus (house mouse), 3852 nucleotides long. It is a transcript of the gene named sperm associated antigen 5, with no coding region annotated. The transcript is spliced from 24 exons. Lineage: Eukaryota; Metazoa; Chordata; Mammalia; Rodentia; Muridae. The record is from RefSeq and is marked validated.
GGGUUCAAAUAGAGGCGGCGGGUGAAAGUGGCCAUUUCGACUUGGUCUGGUUAAGUGAUCGAGUUGAAAAUGUGGAGGGUGAAAACACUGAAUCUCGGUUUGUCGCCUUCGCCCCAAAAGGGGAAGCCAGCUAUGAGUACUCCUCUCCGAGAGCUUAAACUACAGCCCGAGGCCCUCGCCGAUUCAGGGAAAGGUCCCUCUAUGAUCUCCGCGCUGACCCCAUACCUGUGCAGGCUGGAGCUGAAGGAAAGAUGCAACAACUCAUCUCCAGUGGAUUUUAUCAAUACUGAGAACAACUUCCUUUCAGAACAGUUCAGCCAUCCUUCAACGCACAUAGAAGCUUGCCAGCGUGAAUCCGAUCCAACUCCUGAAAGCAACUCUCUUUUCCAUACUUUGGAGGAAGCAAUAGAAACAGUGGAUGACUUUGUCGUGGACCCAAGAGAUGAUAGUAUAGUGGAGUCCAUGGUUCUUCUGCCCUUUUCAUUAGGGCAGCAGCAAGACCUGAUGCUCCAGGCUCACUUAGAUACCACAGCAGAGAGAACUAAAAGCUCUCUAAAUGAAUCUUUGGGGCUAGAAGAUCUGGUGGGGAAGGAGGUGGCACCUUGUGUGGAAGACAGCCUAACAGAAAUUGUUGCUAUUAGGCCCGAGCAACCUACAUUUCAGGACCCUCCGUUAGGACCCAGUGACACUGAAGAUGCACCUGUGGACUUAGUUCCUUCUGAAAAUGUCCUGAAUUUCUCUCUGGCUCGUCUUUCUCCUUCAGCUGUCCUGGCCCAGGAUUUCUCUGUCGAUCAUGUCGAUCCAGGGGAGGAAACCGUAGAGAACAGAGUCCUACAGGAAAUGGAAACGAGCUUCCCCACAUUCCCUGAGGAGGCCGAAUUGGGAGACCAAGCACCUGCUGCAAAUGCAGAAGCCGUCUCACCCUUGUACCUGACAUCAAGUCUAGUGGAGAUGGGGCCCCGGGAAGCCCCAGGCCCAACAGUAGAAGACGCCAGUAGGAUUCCUGGCCUUGAGUCAGAGACUUGGAUGUCCCCAUUGGCCUGGCUAGAAAAGGGUGUGAAUACAUCGGUCAUGCUACAAAACCUCCGCCAGAGCUUAUCCUUUUCUUCUGUGCUUCAGGAUGCUGCCGUUGGCAACACACCCCUCGCCACGUGUUCUGUGGGCACUUCCUUUACUCCUCCAGCACCACUGGAGGUAGGCACCAAGGACAGUACUUCAGAGACAGAGCGCCUCCUCUUGGGCUGCCGUCCUCCAGAUCUGGCUACCUUGUCCCGACACGACUUGGAAGAGAACCUGUUGAACUCUCUUGUCUUGCUGGAAGUUCUUUCCCACCAGCUACAAGCCUGGAAGAGCCAGUUGACUGUCCCUCACCGGGAAGCUCGAGACAGUAGUACACAGACUGACAGCUCUCCUUGUGGGGUCACUAAGACACCUAAACAUCUUCAGGACAGCAAGGAGAUUAGACAGGCUCUACUGCAAGCCAGGAAUGUCAUGCAAUCAUGGGGUCUAGUCUCUGGAGACCUGUUGUCCUUGCUUCACCUGUCCCUAACACACGUGCAAGAAGGCAGAGUGACAGUGAGUCAGGAGUCUCAGCGGUCAAAAACCCUGGUUUCCUCCUGUUCUCGUGUGCUGAAGAAAUUGAAGGCAAAGCUGCAGAGCCUCAAAACAGAAUGUGAGGAGGCAAGGCACAGCAAGGAAAUGGCCCUUAAAGGCAAGGCUGCGGCAGAGGCAGUACUGGAGGCUUUCCGUGCACAUGCCAGCCAGCGCAUCAGCCAACUGGAACAGGGUCUCACAUCUAUGCAGGAAUUCAGAGGCCUUCUACAGGAGGCACAGACCCAACUGAUAGGGCUUCACACAGAACAAAAGGAGCUGGCUCAGCAGACAGUGAGUCUGAGUUCUGCCUUGCAGCAGGACUGGACAUCAGUCCAAUUGAAUUAUGGAAUAUGGGCAGCUUUGCUGAGUUGGUCUCGAGAACUCACCAAGAAACUCACAGCCAAGAGCCGGCAGGCCCUUCAGGAACGUGAUGCUGCAAUUGAAGAAAAGAAGCAGGUUGUGAAGGAAGUGGAACAAGUCUCUGCCCAUUUAGAGGACUGUAAAGGUCAAAUCGAACAACUGAAGUUGGAAAAUAGUCGCCUUACUGCAGAUCUCUCGGCUCAGCUGCAGAUUCUGACUAGCACAGAGAGUCAGCUAAAGGAAGUACGGAGUCAGCAUUCCCGCUGUGUCCAGGACCUGGCCGUGAAGGAUGAAUUGCUGUGUCAACUUACCCAGAGCAACAAGGAGCAGGCUACUCAAUGGCAAAAGGAAGAAAUGGAACUGAAACACAUACAAGCAGAACUGCUACAGCAGCAGGCUGUGUUGGCUAAGGAGGUCCAGGACCUGAGGGAGACUGUGGAGUUUAUAGAUGAAGAAAGUCAAGUUGCUCACCGGGAGCUGGGCCAGAUUGAGAGUCAGUUGAAAGUCACGCUAGAGUUACUGCGGGAGCGCAGCCUGCAGUGUGAGACCCUCAGGGACACUGUGGACAGCCUGAGGGCUGAGCUGGCCAGCACUGAAGCAAAGCAUGAGAAACAGGCCCUAGAGAAGACACACCAGCAUUCUCAAGAGCUGCGGCUACUGGCUGAGCAGCUGCAGAGUCUCACCCUCUUCUUACAGGCAAAACUCAAGGAGAACAAGGCUGAAUCAGAGAUCAUUCUGCCCAGCACAGGCUCUGCUCCAGCCCAGGAACACCCUCUGUCCAAUGACAGCAGCAUCUCAGAACAGACCCCGACAGCAGCAGUAGAUGAAGUGCCAGAACCAGCUCCUGUGCCAUUGCUUGGAAGUGUUAAGAGUGCUUUCACCCGAGUAGCCUCAAUGGCUUCCUUUCAGCCUACAGAGACCCCAGACUUGGAGAAGAGCCUGGCAGAAAUGAGUACUGUGUUACAAGAGCUUAAGAGCCUGUGUUCCCUGCUGCAAGAGUCUAAAGAGGAGGCCACUGGGGUCCUGCAGAGGGAAAUCUGUGAACUACACUCGAGACUACAGGCCCAAGAAGAAGAGCAUCAGGAAGCCCUGAAGGCAAAGGAAGCAGACAUGGAGAAGCUGAACCAGGCCUUGUGCUUGCUCCGCAAGAAUGAGAAGGAGCUCCUGGAAGUGAUACAGAAGCAGAACGAGAAGAUCCUGGGGCAAAUAGACAAGAGCGGCCAGCUCAUAAACCUCAGAGAGGAGGUGACCCAGCUCACACAGUCACUUCGGCGUGCAGAGACAGAGACUAAAGUGCUCCAGGAAGCCCUGGAAGGCCAGCUAGAUCCCAGCUGCCAGCUGAUGGCUACUAACUGGAUCCAGGAAAAAGUGUUUCUCUCACAGGAGGUGAGCAAGCUGAGGGUUAUGUUCCUGGAGAUGAAAACUGAGAAGGAACAGCUGAUGGACAAGUAUCUGAGCCAUGGUUCAUGAAGCCUGUUUGCAUUGUAGAGGCACAUCCUGGAGGAGAAUCUUCGGCGCUCUGACACAGAGUUAAAGAAACUCGAUGACACAAUUCAGCAUGUCUAUGAGACUCUGUUGUCUAUCCCAGAGACUAUGAAGAGUUGCAAGGAGUUACAAGGAUUGCUAGAAUUUCUGAGCUAAGAAACUGAAAAUAUUGGAAUGCAGUGGUGUGCACCUGUAGUUCCAGCUGCUCCAGACGCCAAAGUUGGAGUGCUGCCAAAUCCCAGGAAUUUGGGAACCUAACACAGACAACACAGCAAAAACCCUGAAAAAUGAAUUCCACUCCACUCCAGUUUCCUUCAGGGCUCUUUAUCCCAACCCUUAUCCCAAUAAUAAGACCAAUUGGCAUAGAGCCGACCAUGUUUUAUGUUAUUUAAAUAAAGUGUAUUUAAUGUAGUC